This 85-nucleotide microRNA precursor is filed under the name Nomascus leucogenys (northern white-cheeked gibbon). RNAcentral describes it as "mir-548 microRNA precursor family". It matches the Rfam family "mir-548 microRNA precursor family". The record is from Rfam by way of RNAcentral. Lineage: Eukaryota; Metazoa; Chordata; Mammalia; Primates; Hylobatidae.
UAUUAGGUUGGUGCAAAAGUAAUUGUGGUUUUUGCCAUUGAAAACAAUGGCAAAGAACCACAGUUACUUUUGCAUCAACUUAAUA